This 140-nucleotide ribosomal RNA is filed under the name uncultured eukaryote. Its description in RNAcentral is "partial 18S ribosomal RNA". It matches the Rfam family "Eukaryotic small subunit ribosomal RNA", at positions 1299 to 1458 of the family's 1831-position model. The record is from RNAcentral.
UGGUGGAGUGAUUUGUCUGGUUAAUUCCGUUAACGAACGAGACCUUAUCCUGCUAAAUAGUAUAAGAAAAAUUUUAUUUUUCUAUAAACUUCUUAGAGGGACUUUGCGUGUUUAACGCAAGGAAGUUUGAGGCAAUAACA